Molecule: long non-coding RNA, 921 nt
Organism: Drosophila guanche
Lineage: Eukaryota; Metazoa; Arthropoda; Insecta; Diptera; Drosophilidae
Exons: 3
Source: RefSeq, a predicted model, not a curated record
GAAAUAUAUCUUUUCGUGUGAAUUGUUUUGUGAAAUAUUUUAGUAGAAAUUUUAUCAUAUGUAUUUUAGCACGUCAGAACACCAGGACAAUCUCUACAAGACAAAAUUGGUUGAACAGGCCGUACAGACAUGGCUGCGCCCAUGAAGAACUUCGUUGUGAUGACUGUGGAGGCGCGCAAAAUGUUCUCAACUCCAUGCAAUGACACUACAACGGAAGGCAAAGCAUUCUACUACAAGAUGCGGGGAUUCGCUAUUUGGCCGAAUUCACCAUUGGCUGGAACCACAUGGAGGCGUCAGAGCAGUCGCUGUGCUCUUACAAUACUGCCUGGGAAUUCGCAACCGAUUUGGCUCCAUCGUAGUAGGCCAUCGACUUGGUACAGCCCGCUUUCGAUGAUGCCAGUGAUGAACUGGAUAAACUGAACUCAUCAUGUAGCUGCUGCGUGACAACCUUACACUAUGGACAUCUGCCUAGCAGCUACAAACGGCGUCAGCUGACAAUGCCACAGUUGUCGCGAACCUAAGAACCUGAUUGAGAAGGGACAGGUGAAAGGAUAAGUAUUAAUUUAAGUAGACAUGCACCCGUCAUUUAAGCACCACACUUUGAAUUAUUUGAGAACAACACCAUAAAGUCAUGUGACAACCUGUAACCCCGUGCCGCCCGACAUGCAGGUGAUGGCCAGACGAAGGACAUAAACCACAAAAACAUGGAAACAGAAUUACAAAAAGGAAUACCAAAACAGUUCUCGAGAAUAACUAGAACAUUUACCGAUAUUUGAAAGAUUAAAAUCUUGCAACAGAAGCAGCAACAACACUGGUAGACGUGGAUAUUUCAAAAAGACUUCCUUUUCCCCCGUGAGCGCCCCAGUUGUUAUAAAUAAUAGCCUAACAAAAAGGUGUUAUUUAGAAUUGUGAAAAUCAGAG